Molecule: ribosomal RNA, 774 nt
Filed under: uncultured Neocallimastigales
Lineage: Eukaryota; Fungi; Neocallimastigomycota; Neocallimastigomycetes; Neocallimastigales
Description: partial large subunit ribosomal RNA
Rfam family: Eukaryotic large subunit ribosomal RNA
Source: RNAcentral
GUAGUCUCGCACAGAUGCAUAUCAAUAAGCGGAGGAAAAGAAACUAACAAGGAUUCCCCUAGUAACGGCGAGUGAAGCGGGAAGAGCUCAAAUUUGAAAUCUUAAGGGUUUCCCUUUACGAAUUGUAGUUUAAAGAAGUGUUUUCUGUUGAGGUCUUGGUAAAGGUUCUUUGGAAUAGGACAUCAUAGAGGGUGAGAAUCCCGUAUUUGACCUUUACUUUCAACUUUGUGAUACACUUUCAAAGAGUCGGAUUGUUUGGGAAUGCAGUCCAAAAUGGGUGGUAAAUUUCAUCUAAAGCUAAAUAUUGGCGAGAGACCGAUAGCGAACAAGUACCGUGAGGGAAAGAUGAAAAGAACUUUGAAAAGAGAGUUAAACAGUACUGUGAAAUUGUCAAAAGGGAAGCGUUUGACACCAGUGUUGUUUUUCUGAAAAUCAAUUAAAGAACUGUUUAUGCUAAGCUGUUUAGACUUUAUCAGCUAACUGUUUAGUUUUGAGCUUUUCUUUAAUGCACUUUUCAGUUAACAAGUCAACAUCAAUUUCUUUUGCUGUAAAGAAGCUUGAGGAAGGUGGCUUGAGAUUCGUCUUAAGUGUUUAUAGCCUCUUGCCUAUGCAGUCGGAGAGAUUGAGGUCUGCAGCGUAGAUCCUUCGGGGCUAAAUGCAUUUGUGCUAAGUUAUAGCAUUUUAUAGACAACUUGUUGACUAUGAUUUGUCUUGUAGCUUACUCGCUUAUGUUAUUUUACCUACGCUUAGGAUGUUGAACUACUGAGACAUAGA